UUUUUCACGGUUGCAUCGGUCGGCCUGUCAAACAGUGCGACGCAAGGAGAAAAUCCUCGCGUCUGCUGGGCGACGGACGGACAAUUUAUUAACACUUUUGGAUGAUCUAGGAUUUGAAGGAGAAAAAGUCAUUUUUACGAAUGAAAUCGACUGGUAAUGCGGUCGUCUAAUUUUAAAAACAACUUUUGGCAACGGAUCUCUUGGUUCUCCCAUCGAUGAAGAACGCAGCGAAUUGCGAUAAGUAAUGUGAAUUGCAGAAGUGAAUCAUCGAAUCUUUGAACGCACCUUGCGCUCCCGGCAGAUCUAAUCUGGGGAGCAUGCCUGUUUGAGGGCCGCGAAUUGUUUCGAACGACAGCUUUUUUCUUUUGGAAAAGGUUGACGGAUCGGUAUUGAGGGUUUUUGCCAUUUACCGUGGCUCCCUCGAAAUAGAUUAGCGCAUCCAUUUUAUAGGCAAGACGGACGAAAGCUCGAUUUUUGCUCUCUCUUCCCUGCCGGGUUUUGAUACUAUCAGGACUUCGGAGAGGUUGAGAUGGGUAGGAGCAUGGACGCAACGGC
Molecule: ribosomal RNA, 555 nt
Filed under: Ustilago tritici
Lineage: Eukaryota; Fungi; Basidiomycota; Ustilaginomycetes; Ustilaginales; Ustilaginaceae
Description: partial ribosomal RNA
Rfam family: 5.8S ribosomal RNA (bases 181-335)
Source: RNAcentral